AGAGUUUGAUCCUAGCUCAGAACGAACGCUGGCGGCGUGCUUAAUACAUGCAAGUCGUGCGAGAAAUCCCGGGCUUGCUCGGGAGAGUAAAGCGGCGAACGGGUGCGUAACACGUGGGCAACCUGCCCUCGGGUUGGGGAUAAGCCUUCGAAAGGAGGUCUAAUACCGAAUAACGUCACAUCAGGGCAUCCUGGAGUGAUCAAAGAUGGCUUCGGCUAUCUCCUGAGGAUGGGCCCGCGCUCCAUUAGCUUGUUGGUGAGGUAACGGCUCACCAAGGCAUCGAUGGAUAGCCGGCCUGAGAGGGUGACCGGCCACACUGGGACUGAGAUACGGCCCAGACUCCUACGGGAGGCAGCAGUAGGGAAUAUUGCGCAAUGCCCGAAAGGGUGACGCAGCAACGCCGCGUGUGGGAUGAAGCUUCUUGGAGCGUAAACCACUGUCAGUAGGGACGAAAUGCUGUAGCUCUAAUAUAGCUACGGCUUGACGGUACCUGCAGAGGAAGCUCCUGCCAACUCCGUGCCAGCAGCCGCGGUAAUACGGGGAGCAAGCGUUGUUCGGAAUCACUGGGCGUAAAGGGUACGCAGGCGGGAAGGCAGGUCAGAUGUGAAAACCCAUGGCUUAACCAUGGGCCUGCAUCUGAUACCACCUUUCUUGAGUAUCGGAGAGGAAAGCGGAACUCCUGGUGUAGCGGUGAAAUGCGUAGAUAUCAGGAGGAACACCGGUGGCGAAGGCGGCUUUCUGGCCGAAUACUGACGCUCAUGUACGAAGGCCGGGGGAGCAAACAGGAUUAGAUACCCUGGUAGUCCCGGCGGUAAACGAUGGGUACUAGGUGUUGGAGGAAUCGACCCCUUCAGUGCCGCAGCUAACGCACUAAGUACCCCGCCUGGGGAGUACGGCCGCAAGGCUGAAACUCAAAGGAAUUGACGGGGCCCCGCACAAGCAGUGGAGCACGUGGUUUAAUUCGACGCAACGCGAAGAACCUUACCUGGGUUUGAAAUGUUCAGGAAAGCUUCAGAGAUGAAGCCCCUCCGCAAGGAGUCUGUUCACAGGUGCUGCAUGGCUGUCGUCAGCUCGUGCCGUGAGGUGUUGGGUUAAGUCCCGCAACGAGCGCAACCCCUGCCCUUAGUUACCAGCGGUUCGGCCGGGAACUCUAGGGGGACUGCCGGUGACAAGCCGGAGGAAGGUGGGGAUGACGUCAAGUCCUCAUGGCCCUUACGUCCAGGGCUACACACGUGCUACAAUGACCGGUACAGAGGGUCGCAAGACCGCAAGGUGGAGCUAAUCCCUAAAACCGGCCUAAGUUCGGAUUGGAGUCUGCAACUCGACUCCAUGAAGUCGGAAUUGCUAGUAAUCGCGAAUCAGCAGGUCGCGGUGAAUACGUUCCCGGGGCUUGUACACACCGCCCGUCAAGCCAUGGAAGCCGGGGGUACCCGAAAUCGCUUUGUUAACCGCAAGGAUGCAAGCGCCUAAGGUAAAAUCGGUGACUGGGGCUAAGUCGGAACAAGGUA
This 1508-nucleotide ribosomal RNA is filed under the name metagenome. RNAcentral describes it as "bacterial SSU rRNA". It matches the Rfam family "Bacterial small subunit ribosomal RNA". The record is from RNAcentral.